ACUUAGUGGCAGACGGGUGAGUAAUGUAUAGGAAUCUACCUAGUAGUACGGAAUAAUUGUUGGAAACGGCAACUAAUACCGUAUACGCCCUACGGGGGAAAGAUUUAUCGCUAUUAGAUGAGCCUAUAUUAGAUUAGCUAGUUGGUAAGGUAAUGGCUUACCAAGGCAAUGAUCUAUAGCUGAUCUGAGAGGAUGAUCAGCCACACUGGAACUGAGAUACGGUCCAGACUCCUACGGGAGGCAGCAGUGGGGAAUAUUGGACAAUGGGCGAAAGCCUGAUCCAGCCAUGCCGCAUGAGUGAAGAAGGCCUUUGGGUUGUAAAGCUCUUUCGGCGAGGAAGAUAAUGACGGUACUCACAGAAGAAGUCCUGGCUAACUCCGUGCCAGCAGCCGCGGUAAUACGGAGAGGGCUAGCGUUAUUCGGAAUUAUUGGGCGUAAAGAGCGCGUAGGCUGGUUAGUAAGUUAAAAGUGAAAUCCCAAAGCUCAAUUUUGGAAUUGCUUUUAAAACUGCUAACCUAGAGAUUGAAAGAGGAUAGAGGAAUUCCUAGUGUAGAGGUGAAAUUCGUAAAUAUUAGGAGGAACACCAGUGGCGAAGGCGUCUAUCUGGUUCAAAUCUGACGCUGAGGCGCGAAGGCGUGGGGAGCAAACAGGAUUAGAUACCCUGGUAGUCCACGCUGUAAACGAUGAAUGUUAAAUAUGGGAAGUUUACUUUCUGUAUUACAGCUAACGCGUUAAACAUUCCGCCUGGGGACUACGGUCGCAAGAUUAAAACUCAAAGGAAUUGACGGGGACCCGCACAAGCGGUGGAGCA
RNAcentral lists this ribosomal RNA (811 nucleotides) under Wolbachia endosymbiont of Neotroponiscus littoralis. RNAcentral's name for it is "bacterial SSU rRNA". It matches the Rfam family "Bacterial small subunit ribosomal RNA", at positions 90 to 939 of the family's 1533-position model. The record is from RNAcentral. Lineage: Bacteria; Pseudomonadati; Pseudomonadota; Alphaproteobacteria; Rickettsiales; Anaplasmataceae.